RNAcentral lists this ribosomal RNA (446 nucleotides) under uncultured bacterium. RNAcentral describes it as "partial 16S ribosomal RNA". It matches the Rfam family "Bacterial small subunit ribosomal RNA", at positions 338 to 795 of the family's 1533-position model. The record is from RNAcentral.
CCUACGGGUGGCAGCAGUCGAGAAUCAUUCACAAUGGGGGAAACCCUGAUGGUGCGACGCCGCGUGGGGGAAUGAAGGUCUUCGGAUUGUAAACCCCUGUCAUGCGGGAGCAAAUUAAAAAGAUAGUACCACAAGAGGAAGAGACGGCUAACUCUGUGCCAGCAGCCGCGGUAAUACAGAGGUCUCAAGCGUUGUUCGGAAUCACUGGGCGUAAAGCGUGCGUAGGCUGUUUCGUAAGUCGUGUGUGAAAGGCGCGGGCUCAACCCGCGGACGGCACAUGAUACUGCGAGACUAGAGUGAUGGAAGGGGAACCGGAAUUCGCGGUGUAGCAGUGAAAUGCGUAGAUAUCGAGAGGAACACUCGUGGCGAAGGCGGGUUCCUGGACAUUAACUGACGCUGAGGCACGAAGGCCAGGGGAGCGAAAGGGAUUAGAUACCCGAGUAGUC